CAAGUCCAGCCAGUCAGCAAGUUACCUGAAUUCACAGGAGUGACAUUUCCACGUUAUUCAAAUUCAAAACAAGCCUACUCAGUGAACCUGAGCCCCAAGGAAUUCACAGCGCUCUACAUCAACUCCCAAUUUGCAAUUCUAGGAGUCCAGGCUGGGAUUGGGAAGAGCACUUACCUGUGGUGAGCCCAGCCUCUGAAGACCUGGCUGCUCACCAUGUGAGCAAUGAAGUCAACCUCAUUAAAGGAAGUGAUUCGUGGUCCUGGCUCAGGAGAAGUCUAUGGAGUAUGGCCAUCAUCUGGGAAUGGAGCAAGUGUGUGAUGGGAAGAGUUUGGAUUGGAUUCAGACAAGAUUAUGG
Molecule: long non-coding RNA, 355 nt
Organism: Symphalangus syndactylus (siamang)
Lineage: Eukaryota; Metazoa; Chordata; Mammalia; Primates; Hylobatidae
Source: RefSeq, a predicted model, not a curated record